RNAcentral lists this ribosomal RNA (253 nucleotides) under uncultured bacterium. Its description in RNAcentral is "partial 16S ribosomal RNA". It matches the Rfam family "Bacterial small subunit ribosomal RNA", at positions 524 to 776 of the family's 1533-position model. The record is from RNAcentral.
UACGUAGGGGGCUAGCGUUGUCCGGAAUCAUUGGGCGUAAAGAGCGUGUAGGCGGUCCGGUAAGUCCGCUGUGAAAGUCGGGGGCUCAACCCUCGAAUGCCGGUGGAUACUGUCGGGCUAGAGUGCGGAAGAGGCGAGUGGAAUUCCUGGUGUAGCGGUGAAAUGCGUAGAUAUCUGGAGGAACACCGGUGGCGAAGGCAGCUCGCUGGGACGGUACUGACGCUGAGACGCGAAAGCGUGGGGAGCAAACAGG